This 301-nucleotide ribosomal RNA is filed under the name uncultured bacterium. RNAcentral's name for it is "partial 16S ribosomal RNA". It matches the Rfam family "Bacterial small subunit ribosomal RNA", at positions 509 to 807 of the family's 1533-position model. The record is from RNAcentral.
CAGUCGCCGCGGGAAUACGGAGGAGGCUAGCGUUGUUCGGAAUUACUGGGCGUAAAGCGCACGUAGGCGGAUAUUUAAGUCAGGGGUGAAAUCCCGCAGCUCAACUGCGGAACUGCCUUUGAUACUGGGUAUCUUGAGUAUGGAAGAAGUUAGUGGAAUUGCGAGUGUAGAGGUGAAAUUCGUAGAUAUUCGCAGGAACACCAGUGGCGAAGGCGGCUAACUGGUCCAUAACUGACGCUGAGGUGCGAAAGCGUGGGGAGCAAACAGGAUUAGAUACCCCCGUAGUCCCUGUCUCUUAUAC